Molecule: long non-coding RNA, 822 nt
Filed under: Monodelphis domestica (gray short-tailed opossum)
Lineage: Eukaryota; Metazoa; Chordata; Mammalia; Didelphimorphia; Didelphidae
Description: lncRNA (ENSMODG00000036355.2)
Source: RNAcentral
AGCAGUUCUGGAAGAACAGGUGUCCUGUCAGCUUUCUUUGGUUCUCCAAAGUUUCUCCUUUGUCAGUAAUGAGACUUCAGUUCCUGCCCUUUGGCCCUGGUGCCCGCAGACUCAGAGGUGUUCUUUCCUUCAUACCCCAGCUGUGGACCAGUGAGGGGGUCUUUUGAGCUGAGGCUACAGCAAACAGAACUGCUUCCAGGGUCCUCUGACUGGGAAUUCAGAUUCCUGUGGUAUCCUUGGGGAUCCAGGCUUCCAAGUCUCAGCAAACAAGAGACUACUAUAGAUUGGCUUGAGAAGGACAACCAAGAUGGGGAAGAAACCUGAAACUAUGCAGUACAAGAUUGGAGAUUUUUAAUCUGCAGAAAAGAAGGCUUUUUGGAUAUAUGAUAACUGCUUUCAAAUAUUUGAAGUGACAUGAUGUGGAAGAUGAGUUGUUAGUUUUGUUUAGCUCAAAAAGUCAGAAAGAGAGCUAAAAAGAGGAAACCCCAAAGGGUUAUAGAUUUUAGUUCAACAAAUAGAAUACUUCUUAACAAUUUGAUCUGUUAAAAAAUUAACCAAGUUACUUUGAGUUAUGGUUAGCUUCCUAGAAUUUGAUCUCCUUAAGUGAAAACUUGAUUAUUACUUGCUAUGAAUGUUGAAGAGAGGUAUAGUUGAACCAGAUAAACCAUGAAAUCUCUCCCAGAUCUAAAAAUUUACAAUGAAAUCAGGUCCAUUUGUUGUUGUUGUUGUUGUUUUUAAUUUUCCCAGAACCAGAUGUACUGAAUAACAAAUUUUCAGAGUUGAAAAAAAAAAAACAAAAUUGCCAUCUAGGGCAACCCAUAC